Molecule: long non-coding RNA, 1417 nt
Filed under: Homo sapiens (human)
Lineage: Eukaryota; Metazoa; Chordata; Mammalia; Primates; Hominidae
Description: non-protein coding lnc-CREBZF-2:1
Source: RNAcentral
GACCUCCACCUUUGGAUCCUGUGAUUUAGGCAGAGCACACUCUUGGAGAGCUUGAUGCAUUAUAUGGCAAUGAUAAGUUUAAUUCUCUAGGAUGGGUCCUGACUAAACUCUCCAUUGAGCCUCAUCUUGGCAAAACGAUGAUAAUGGGGUGUAUUUUCUAUGAGAGAGAUCCUGUCUAUACCAUCUCUGCUGCUACCUGUUUUCAUUGAUGAAGGAAAGUGGGAUAUAUCCACCGAAAUUUUGCUGGAAACCCAUUUUCUGAUUAUGUGUCCCUUUUAUCAGUAUUCCAAUCCUGGAAUGAUUCUAGAACGGGUAGAGAAGAAACUCAGAUUCAAUUUUGUGAGCACAAAAGACUCAAUAGGGCUACACUAAGAAUGACUUAUGAAGCCAAAGUUUAGCUCAAAGAGAUUCAUAUUAAUUCUGGAUUUCCAGAAGAUUAUUGACACAAGUGUUUACUAACACUGGACCAGAUAAUAAUUUGGAUGCUGUUAUCUCCCUCUUGGCCUUUGGUGUGUACCCAAAUGAUGCUAUCAGAAGGAAAAGAGAAAUAUUCUCACCAUGAAGGGCAUAAUGCACUUAUCCACAAAUUGUCUGUUAAUUGUUUUUUUAGUAGCAAGACAAAAAGUGCUCCUCUCUUUUCUUUGUGUUUGGUGAAAAGCCGGGGGUGACUAAGGCCGUGCCUUUAGCAGAGAUGGCUCGGGUUCAAAUACUGUCUUUGAUCAGGUGUACUUGAAUCUGAGCCAUCUCUGCUAAAGGCAUGACCUUAGUCACCUCCCUGAAGUUGCUUCUCUUUGCCUUCAAGAAAGUAUAAUGUGAUAGGCAGAUUGUUCUUGUAGAUGACUGAAUUAAACUGCAAAUAUCCCAUGAAGCUGCUGCCUGCAUUACUGCUUUCCAGGAAAUCUUGGAGUUGAAGAUUCAACAACCUCUGGUUGUUGAAGUAACAAACAACCUGAUAUCUUCAGCCAGUUGGACCCUUUUAAUUAAUAUAUGCUGAACAUUAUCCACCAAAUCUCUAGGCCCUUAGCUCCUGUUAUCAAUCUUGUGGUUGGCAAUACACAGUAUGGAGAUGGUCCACAUCCUCCCAAGAUGGCCUGAUAUGACAAUGGAAGUAGAUAUAGGAGGGUACAUUCUAGUUAUGGUGUUGGAGGCUAUGGCAGUGGCUACAGUGAUGGAGGCUAUAGUAGUGGAGGCUAUGGUGGCACUACUCCACCCUGUCAGGAAGGAUAUGGUGGAGAUGGUGGUGGAGACUAUAGAGGACAUAACUGAGGUGGCUAUAGUGGUAGCUCUGGUGGAGACUACAGAAGGUCUAGUGGAGGUUUCAGAGGAUCUGGGAGAUGCCAGUGAGGAUAUGGAAGGGAGAGCUAUGGAAAUGGCUGCUUUGGACAAGGAAAAGGAAGUGGUGGCCAUUAAGGCUUGG